This 460-nucleotide ribosomal RNA is filed under the name uncultured bacterium. Its description in RNAcentral is "partial 16S ribosomal RNA". It matches the Rfam family "Bacterial small subunit ribosomal RNA", at positions 338 to 795 of the family's 1533-position model. The record is from RNAcentral.
CCUACGGUGUGCAGCAGUGAGGCAUAUUGGUCAAUGGGCGCGAGCCUGAACCAGCCAAGUAUCGUGAAGGAUGACUGCCCUACGUGUUGUAAACUUCUUUUAUACAUGAAUAAAGUGAGGCCCGUGUGCCUUUUUGUAUGUACUUUAUGAAUAAGGAUCGGCUAACUCCGUGCCAGCAGCCGCGGUAAUACGGAGGAUCCGAGCGUUCUCCGGAUUUAUUGGGUGUAAAGGGAGCGUAGAUGGGUUUUUAAGUCAGUUGUGAAAGUUUGCGGCUCAACCGUAAAAUUGCAAUUGAUACUGGCAGUCUUGAGUGCAGUUGAGGUAGGCGGAAUUCGUGGUGUAGCGGUGAAAUGCUUAGAUAUCACGAAGAACUCCGAUUGCGAAGGCAGCUUACUAAACUGCAACUGACAUUGAUGCUCGAAAGUGUGGGUAGCAAACAGGAUUAGAUACCCUGGUAGUC